RNAcentral lists this ribosomal RNA (253 nucleotides) under uncultured bacterium. RNAcentral describes it as "partial 16S ribosomal RNA". It matches the Rfam family "Bacterial small subunit ribosomal RNA", at positions 524 to 776 of the family's 1533-position model. The record is from RNAcentral.
UACGUAGGGAGCAAGCGUUAUCCGGAUUUAUUGGGUGUAAAGGGUGCGUAGACGGGAUUACAAGUUGGUUGUGAAACCCCUCAGCUCAACUGAGGAACUGCAACCAAAACUAUAAUUCUUGAGUGCAGGAGAGGAAAGUGGAAUUCCUAGUGUAGCGGUGAAAUGCGUAGAUAUUAGGAGGAACACCAGUGGCGAAGGCGGCUUUCUGGACGACAACUGACGCUGAGGCGCGAAAGUGUGGGGAGCAAACAGG